GUGCCAGCCGCCGCGGUAAUACCGGCAGCCCGAGUGAUGGCCGAUCUUAUUGGGCCUAAAGCGUCCGUAGCCGGCCGGACAAGUCCGUUGGGAAAUCGACGCGCCUAACGCGUCGGCGUCCAGCGGAAACUGUCCGGCUUGGGGCCGGAAGAUCCGAGGGGUACGUCCGGGGUAGGUGUGAAAUCCCAUAAUCCCGCACGGACCACCGAUGGCGAAAGCACUUCGAGAAAAUGGAUCCGACAGUGAGGGACGAAAGCCAGGGUCUCCAACCGGAUUAGAAACCCCAGUAGUCC
This 293-nucleotide ribosomal RNA is filed under the name uncultured bacterium. RNAcentral's name for it is "partial 16S ribosomal RNA". It matches the Rfam family "Archaeal small subunit ribosomal RNA", at positions 455 to 747 of the family's 1478-position model. The record is from RNAcentral.